GAUGAAGAACGCAGCGAAAUGCGAUAAGUAAUGUGAAUUGCAGAAUUCAGUGAACCAUCGAAUCUUUGAACGCACAUUGCGCCCGCCAGUAUUCUGGCGGGCAUGCCUGUUCGAGCGUCAUUACAACCCUCAGGCCCCCGGGCCUGGCGUUGGGGAUCGGCGGAAGCCCCCUGCGGGCACAACGCCGUCCCCCAAAUACAGUGGCGGUCCCGCCGCAGCUUCCAUUGCGUAGUAGCUAACACCUCGCAACUGGAGAGCGGCGCGGCCACGCCGUAAAACACCCAACUUCUGAAUGUUGACCUCGAAUCAGGUAGGAAUACCCGCUGAACUUAAGCAUAUCAAUAAGCGGAGGA
This 353-nucleotide unclassified non-coding RNA is filed under the name soil metagenome. RNAcentral describes it as "partial contains 5.8S ribosomal RNA, internal transcribed spacer 2, and large subunit ribosomal RNA". The stretch from base 1 to 120 matches the Rfam family "5.8S ribosomal RNA", at positions 35 to 154 of the family's 154-position model. The record is from RNAcentral.